UACAAUCCAUAGAAAUAGAAUGAUCUAUUUCUAUGGAUUGUAUACACAACAUUCUACACAUACUGGCUUUUAAACUGACCUUGCGUUGUGAUUGGCUGGCAAAUUCCAUUCCGGAACAUCUGUUACUAAGCAACUAAGUGGCUGCUUCUAAGCCCCCCCACCUUAGUUACAGUAUAUACUGUAGAGAAAAUGUAAACACUAGGCAGACAAAGUAUUAGAGCAGAAAGAUGACCAGUUGGGAUUGGCCAAUUAUUAGGUUUAACAACAUCUAUUCGUUUACAAAGCCUGCAGACGAUCUGCGGCGGUUCAGCUUUCGGUUCUGGCAGCUCUCGCCUUCCUGGCCGACGGGAACCGGCCUUCUGUCUCUGGAGCUUGCCUCCCCUUCCUUCCCCGCCGGCCCUCCAAGCCUCCAGGCUCUGCCCAGUCGUCUGUUCCAGACUCUGUGGGACGAUUUAGGGAGCUGUUGGCCAGCAAGGAUGAAUGAAGGGCUCCGGCAUGGAGGGAUGAACUCUUUCUCCCAUAUUUACAACCGCGGAGUCGGUCCAUGACAGGUGCCUUCCCACGGGCCAACUUCUCUCAGUUAGAAGGGCAUUAGGUAAUGUAUGAACUCUAUCAGGGUUGAGGGGGAGCAGCAGCAUCACUGACAGAAUUUAUCUCAUCUCUAAUGUAGUUCAGCCCCCCUCUCAUCCUGUCCUCUGUAUUUCAUUUGGAGAAAAGCAGGUUAAUUUGGGCAGACAUGCAACAAUAUUAUCGAGCGGAGAGGUCGUUUCCUGCAGAAUGCUAAAACAAUGACAGUGCUUUUGGCGUUUUUGGCUUCAUAACAAGGUUUUUUCGAUUCUUUGUAGCUUUCAGUGUCCAGUUGUAGCACCAUCUGUUCGUGCUUUUCAUCUAAAACAGGUUGGGAAAGGCAGUUUUCAACACUGCACUUGGUGAAGUAAUCGUUGAGUCAUUGGUAUUGAACCCUGUGAAACCCCUGCAGUCCCACACUGUGGUCAUUGUGCGCUACUUGGCUGUAAAUAUCUUACUUAUUGCACCUUUAAGAGGUGAGAAAUCGAACAUCUGAUGCCCGGCUGAGGGUGUGAACGGAGGCGGCUGUAAUCCUCCCUGUGUAUGUGUGUUGCAUAUGUCUGUAUGUGUGUGGGUGAACAGCAUGUAUGUGAUUUAUGUAGUAACUGACAGCCUCUAAAGACUGUUGUUUUUCCCUUUAUUAUGGAAAUGCCUUACCGAUACAGCACAGUGUGUAUGUUUCAUGUAUUCACUAAAAUCCCUUACUGUGUAUUAUGCACCACUGGAACUGCGCCAGGAACAAUACAAUACUGUAUCCUCUGAACAGAAACUGUGAAAAAAUACUACUGCAAAACAUUUCUUAAAAGGAUUUCUACCAUUUGCACUUGUGAAUACGGAAGAUGACAUUUAAAGAGCCAUGUUGAGAAAUACGAGGGUUCUGAUAUUCCCCAGUUAAGCCACGGGAUGAUUUGUAGUGUUAAUAUAUUUGUGACACAACAUCAGCAGCAUCAUCUGUGGGGAGGAAAACGGCAGGAAACUGUGCAACGGCAACAUCCAAAGUGUCAAUCGGAGGGAGUUUAAAAGAGCAAUACAGUCUAUUCUCUCAAGGUGUUUCUCUGAGGUCUCAAUCCAAACUGCUAUAAAGUUGAAGUGUGAUGGGAUGUUGAUUUCAGAAUAUUUCAAAAUGUUAUGCACUUUUUCAAAUGGUAGAUAACUCAAUUUGAAUUUAAGCGUUUAGACGUAGUUAGAGGAUAAACACCUUGAGAUGCACCAUCUCGUUUUCAAGGGGGGUCCUCAGGCACAAAACAUGGAAGUUAACAUUUAAGCACACAAAUAAUAAUAACGAUAAUAAAUGAAUCGUUAGAGUUGCAACAAUUAAUCGACCAAUCAAUUAGUUGGUAACAGCAAGAUAGCCACUGCUGUGUGAAUGUGUGUUGCAUGCUUCAUUUGCAUCACUAGUUAACUUCAUCCAGGGCCUAUACUCCUAUAUAAUUAGUGCUCAGACCAAAGUUUUGGGUUGCUCUUGUCUUCAUUUGGUAAUCUGGAGCUGUAGUAGUACCGCAAAGUCUCUCUUCAAGCAAUUUUGGAUGCCCUACAGCAAAUCAAAUCUGGAAUACUUGGAUGAGAGUCAAUCUGGGGGUGGUUUUCACCCGCUGGCGAGCACCAUCGUUGAGUUUGGGAGGAGGGGCAAACCUUGAAUGUUGUGUUUACAGACCGCAACUGACAAAUCCUACUCAUUGUGCCUUUAACUAACGAAAGAACCAUUUAACAACCCAACAGGACUUGAUGCUUUGGCAGCGAGACAAACAUGCACGCUCCUUCUCAGCUUCUUCUCGGCUGCGGAAGGAAGAAAAUUAAGGAUACUUCGUGGACUGACUUUACUAUAAUUGGACAUCACAGAGUUUCACCGCUGCUUCACAGUAAAAGACUCUUUAUGGUAUUUAAGGAUAAUGGAUUGGCUGCACGAUUACCAUAAACAAAUCAAUCAAUGCUCCUCCGCGAUGGAGAAAACGUGAGCUCCGACGCUGGAAAACGGCCUCAUGUGUUCACACAGCAAUCCCCCGAUGACAGCACGGGAACCGGCAUCGCAGCGCUCGCAGUGAUUGAUAUCCUAAUACAAACACACCUCUCAGAGGAACGCUUGGCUGAUUGUUGUGCAUUCAUGGCAUCGCUUUAUGUAUAACAGCCAUCCAAUAAGCGCCGGGGCUCCUGAAUGAGAAGCAGCUCAGAGGACAGCGUCUGUUGGAGAACACGUGUAAAU
Sebastes umbrosus (honeycomb rockfish) is the source of this 2767-nucleotide long non-coding RNA. RefSeq lists it as uncharacterized. The record is from RefSeq and is a predicted model, not a curated record. NCBI's taxonomy places the organism in Eukaryota, Metazoa, Chordata, Actinopteri, Perciformes, Sebastidae. The transcript is spliced from 2 exons.